UCAAGAACAAAAUUUUAAAGGACUAGGAUCAGCUUGAAAAAAUCAGUUGAACCACAAAGAAUCACGCUAUGCAUUUCAUUCCCAAGAGAUGGAAAAUAUGUCUAAGUGGGGAGACACAGCUUAACUUAUAGGCUGGAAGGAGUGUGGGACACAGAAUUAAAAAUGACGGAUAAAAGCUCAGGAAGAGGUCUGUGGCAGACGUUUCCUUUGCCUCUGGGGCCGCAGCUAGACUACACUUCCCAGCCUCCAAUGCAGCCUCCAGAGCACAUCACGUAUUUUGGACGAUGAACUGUGGGCAGAAGUAAUAUACAGAGCCUCUAGGGCUGGCCCAGAAAACCUCCCAUUUUUCUCUCUUCAUCAGCUGGUUCAAUGCCAAGGAUCCAGGAGAGGACUCCAAAGCCCUCGGGCACGGUGGAGCCACUAGACAAAAGGAAUCACGUCCUGAAAGAACUACACGAAAUAGAGCUCCUGCCCCCAUUCAGACCCUGCCAGUCCACGUUGGGCUGUAACUUGAGCAACAAACCUUUGCUGUAUUAAGCCACUGAGAUUUGAGAAUAAUUCAUUACGGCAGUUAACCUACCCUGAUUCAUACACGAUUGUACCUAAGAAAUGGUUUAUUAAACCAGUCGUGUAGCCUAUUAGCUCAGGCACCUGUCUCAGACAAGCGCACAGGGCUACAUUACAUAGAAGAAUGUAAUAAUAACAAUGGCCGCUACAAUUCUAUAAAGUGCUUACUAUGUGCUAAGCACUGUGUUAAAUACAAGCCACUAACUGCAGCUUUACAUAUAUUGUUUUAGUAAAUCUUCACCCUAUGGGAUAGGCACUAUCAUUUUUUCAUUUUACAAAAAAUGGAGCAUCUAACUUAGUUUACGUAACGUGUUCAAACUCUAAUACAG
RNAcentral lists this long non-coding RNA (896 nucleotides) under Equus asinus (donkey). Its description in RNAcentral is "lncRNA (ENSEASG00005024745.1)". The record is from RNAcentral. Lineage: Eukaryota; Metazoa; Chordata; Mammalia; Perissodactyla; Equidae.